GAAAACAUUACGGGCGACUUUAGGAGCCCACAACCUCAAGUGUUUGAUUAUAUAGACGCGGAAAGCGAUCUAAUUCAGGUUAUAGAGAGUUCCCUGGAGUAUCAUGGAGAUUUUAGGAUACAGAGUCCGACUUUUUUCCCCACUGAUCUGGAAAUAACAUUGGCCCCCGGGCUGAGAGACAGGGCCCCUCGACACCACUCAGUCGACAGUGAGGACGACGAUUAUUACGAUAACCAAAUUCUGCCCUUUUAUGAGUCGUACGCUCAGUUGAACGACCGAAAUAUCGGUGAGCCAAUAUCGGCGUCGGGGUCCAACAAAACCACGCAAGAAACAGACCGACUGAAGUCGCAACUAAAAGAGGCGUAUUAUUUGCUAAUAAACACAAUGCAUAACAUCAGUUUCGACGGUCAGGUUGAAGAUAACGGAUUUGUGGAUCAGGCCAGUAGCGCAAGUCAAUCUAUCGAUAGCAUUAGCACAGGAAGCGACGCGUCGGAAGAACGUCUGUUUGCGUUUAUCGGACGAUGUGGGGUGGGAGUGACGGGGUCUUCUCGAAGCAGAAGCUUGCAGAAUAUUCGCGACGCGAAUCCCAAACCGAUGCUCCAGCGGUCGGUGAGCGAUAGCAAGGUGAGGUACUCGUCAAAUCGCAAGGACGAGCCGCGACCCGCGGUCGCAUCGGGACGCGGUGCACAACUGGCGACUCCUACAGAAACCCUAACGACGCCUGUUUCGACGCGACAAUCCUGCGACGAUGCAACGGUGCCCAAACAUCCUGGAGUCACCGUCAACAAGAUGCAAGAGUGGAUGCAGAAAGGUCGCGUGCUUUCGUCCGAAAUGAAGCAGAGGAUCGCUGGUUCUUCGCCGAGGGCCAAUCACGUGAGGCCAGCAGCGAUGGAGUUUGUCUGUCAGCGUCAGACCCCGUUUAACCACAUCACCGUCUCCAAGAAACGCCAGUGGCUCCAGCAGAGCUCCGUCACAGCGCCCCCUGCAGCCGAGGAGGAGCAAACACAAACACCGCCGCCGUCUAACUCGCUUCUGACAGACCGAGGUGUGCACGGUUCACACUCAGGCUUGAUUCUCAGUGAAUGCUUCCAGAGUUUCGCUCUGCUGGAAGUUGAUCAAGAAAGAAUUAUUUUCAGUGUUUUAAUAAUCCACACAUCUCUCCCA
This 1164-nucleotide long non-coding RNA is filed under the name Sinocyclocheilus grahami. RNAcentral's name for it is "lncRNA (ENSSGRG00000011097.1)". Lineage: Eukaryota; Metazoa; Chordata; Actinopteri; Cypriniformes; Cyprinidae. The record is from RNAcentral.